Molecule: unclassified non-coding RNA, 407 nt
Filed under: fungal sp.
Lineage: Eukaryota; Fungi
Description: partial internal transcribed spacer region
Rfam family: Eukaryotic small subunit ribosomal RNA (bases 1-46)
Source: RNAcentral
AAGUCGUAACAAGGUUUCCGUAGGUGAACCUGCGGAAGGAUCAUUAACACGUAUCCACGUAUACAUCUCACGAAUACGAAGAACUUAGCUCCCCGUACCUCAUUCGAUCUCUUCACUUGCGAUCUCGGAUUAUAGUGGGUCCCUGCUCUGGGCUUCGGCUCGGUUCAGUGUGGCAUAUUCGAUUUUGCGUUCCCUCUUUCGGGAGGGAAGGUGAAGUAACCGUAAUGGCGGGCUUAUUUUCAAUCUGCUUCCCAACCACUUUGGGGCGGCGGGUCGAAAACCCAUACCAUUUUCACCCUAUUUUGCCCAUUUGGCUAAUUUCUAAAUUCAACUGGAGAAAUCCUUUUGAAUGAUCUAAGAUUUAUCUUAACUAAGCACAACUCUUAGCAAUGGAUAUCUUGGUUCUC